AACCCCCAACGUCUCAAUUAUUUUUCAGUCUUGUUCUUUCAUUCUCUUAAUUUCUUUUGUUACACUUUACAGAAUACAAACACUCUUUCUUCUUUUUUUCUUUAUCUUCUACUAUUCAGAUAUUCAUUUCUUUCAUUUCAUUCGGGAUAUUUUGGAAUUCAGGAAUUGGAAUCAAGGGCUCGAAGUCUUCAAAUUUCUUGAUUCAACUAUUUAUCAGGUAAUAUUAUUCUAAUAUUCUAGUAUUAUUUUUAUUUGAUAUUUAUUAUUUUGUUAAUUAUAAUAUGUGCAUAUUAUUUAUUUAUUUUUAGAAUAUAAAUAUGUCAACAAGAAAAUAUGCAUCUGGUUAUUCAAAAAUCCAAAAGAAAAGAAAAGUUAAAAAUUUAAUAAAAUCUCAGAAAUGAGCUCUUGAAAUUUUUUUGACAAACAAUAAAAAAACUAAAUCGCAAAAUAUAGGAGAAUAUUCUGUAGAUGAAAAAUUUACUAACUUUGUUGAGUAAGAUGAUAACAUAAUCCAAAUUGAAGAAGAAGAGGUUUAUGAGAAAUCUGAUGAAGAUUCUCAAGAAUAUCAAGAACUAAUAAAUGAAUUAAAUAAUAAUAUUCAUAAAAAUAUAUAUGAUCCCAGUUAAUGGAUUAAUAUUGAUACAAAGUUGAGAUAUUUAUUAGUAGAAAAGGGACCAACAAGAAUUAUUGAUAUAGAUUUUCCAAAGGAUAAAUCCUUAAGACACUUUUCUACUACACAUUAUUUUCAAAAAUUAGCAAAUGGGGAAAAACAUGAAAGAAGAUUUGGUUUAUUCCAAAGAUUUGGAUAGAAUAUUUUAUUUUUGUUGCAAGCUAUUUAAUACAAAUUCUAGUGUUAGUAUUAGUAACUAGCUAGUGAAGGUAGUAGAGAUUGGAGAAAUAUUAGUACUAAGCUUAAACUCAUGAAACAACGAGCGAACAUAUUAUUAAUACGAGUUCAUGGAUUGACUUAGAAAUGAGAUUGAGCAAAAAUAAAAACAAUUGAUAAAGAUAUGCAAGACCAAAUCAAUGGAGAUAGAGAGCACUGGAGAAAUGUGAAGCAAAUCUAGCAACUUAUGAGCUUGAAAUUUUUGAAUUUUUAUUGGGCAUGACUAUCUGGUAUGAUGCUUUAUUUGCUGUUAAUUUAGUUAGCAAAAGUUUUCAAUUAAAAGAUAUGCUUAUUGAUGUUGUCAUAUAUCAACUAAGAGGUUUAAUUUCUUUUUUUGAGAAAUAUAGAGAAGAAGGAUUUACAAAUGCCAUGAUUGCAGCUAAGGAAAUUGCAUUUGAUAUGAAUAUAGAACCUGAAUUUCGUAAUAAACGUGUAAUACAUAGAAAGAAACAGUUUGAUGAGAUGUUGAUAAUGAAAUUACAAAGUCUCCUGAAGAAUCUUUUAGAGUUGAUUACUUCUUAUAUAUAGUAGAUCAAGCCAUUUUUUCACUUCAAAUAGAUUUGAACAAUUAGAAGUAUAUGAAAUUCUUAUAUAUAGUAGAUCAAGCAAUUUUUUCACUUCAAAAUAGAUUUGAACAGUUUUAAGUAUAUGAAAGUAUCUUUGGUUAAUUCCUAUUUAAUGGUAAAAAUUUUAGAUCAUUAGAUGAUGAGAAAUUGAAUAAAUAUUGUCUUAACCUUGAAUGUUCCUUAAAACACAACAAUCACUAAGAUAUUGAUGAUUUAGACUUAUUUUCUGAACUAAAAGUGUUAAGAAAAAUACUAGAAGUAGAAGAUAAUACUCCAAUCGAUAUACUCAAUCAAAUAAGAAGACUUGAUUCUUUUCCAAAUGUUUAUAUUGCUUAUAGAAUAAUGAUAACAACUCCUACAACAGUUGCUUCGGCAUAAAGAAGUUUUUCAAAAUUAAAAUUGAUAAAAUCUUAUCUAAGAUCAACAAUGUCUCUAUAGAAUAAUGUUAACAGUUCCUAUAACAGUUGCUUCAGCAGAAAGAAGUUUUUCAAAAUUAAAAUUGAUAAAAUCUCAUCUAAGAUCAACAAUGUCUCAAGAAAGAUUAAAUGGCAUGGCUAUAUUAUCAAUUGAAAAGGAAUUAUUAGAAAAAAUCGAUUAUAAUAAAGUUAUUAACAAUUUUGCAUCUCAAAAAGCUAGAAGAAUAGAUUUUAAAUAAAAAUAUGCAAUAUAAGAUUUGUAUAAAAAUUUAGGCCCCAUAUUAAACUUUCGCCUUAGGCCUCAUUUACACUUGAGCCGCCCUUGGUAACUGGAAAUUUCAGAUGUAGAGCUGAAGUUUUUGUGUUGUAACUAGGAAACUUCAGUUCUAGAACUAAAGUUUUUGUGUUGUAACGGGAAACUUUUUUUGUUGUAACGGAAAAGUACUGAAAUUUUUGUGUUGUAACUAAAAAAUUUCAGAUCUAGAAUUGAAGUUUUUGUAUUAUAACUGGAAAACUUAAGCUCUGCUUUCUUUCUUGGAUGAAGUUGGCUGGAAGAUAGAAUUUGAUUUCGUACGGAAUAGGGAUAUAACAUAACCAGCUGAACCAAAAUAAUGGCGACAAAUAUCAAGAACCAUUCUGCCAUGAAAUAUAUAUGAAGGAAAUUGGCUUGUUGAAAUUGAAGAAACUCGAAUCAAGUUCUAACUGGGAGUCAAUUAAUAACAUUAGUACAAAGAAGCUCAGAUCUAGCCUGCAGGCAAAUAUCCGUCUUCUGAGAAAGAGCUGUUAUCAAAGAUGAAAACUUCAAAAGACCGUCCAUAAGUGCCUCCAAAAAAAUAGGCAAAACAACUAUUCCUAUCAAAGUUUCAGUUUUUGAGUUCAUAGAAGAGUGCGAAAAGAAACAACUCAUCUUUAUUUACAAAGAUAAAGGUUAAUUCAUUUUACUCACUGGAUUUAUUGUAUUGCUAGGCUUAAUAUCAAAUAGGACGUCCCGCACAAUUUUUAUCCAUUUCUUCCGUUCGCUCCAGUAUUUUUCUCGCUCUCGAUUUUCAUUUUGGAAUACAUAUAAAUUUUUGUUAGAAAUUUAACUCUUUAUUUAUAAUGACUUAUAAAAUAAAUAAAAAGGCUUAUCCUCUGAUGGUAAUCCCUUAU
Molecule: long non-coding RNA, 3017 nt
Filed under: Nicotiana benthamiana
Lineage: Eukaryota; Viridiplantae; Streptophyta; Magnoliopsida; Solanales; Solanaceae
Description: long non-coding RNA (NBEN_LNC008438)
Source: RNAcentral